RNAcentral lists this microRNA precursor (105 nucleotides) under Microtus ochrogaster (prairie vole). RNAcentral's name for it is "miRNA (ENSMOCG00000008633.1)". The record is from RNAcentral. Lineage: Eukaryota; Metazoa; Chordata; Mammalia; Rodentia; Cricetidae.
GAAAUGCCUCCAUGAGAUCCAACUGUAAGACAUUUUCUCAAUUAGUGAUCAGUGGGAAAGGGUCCAGCCUAUAGUGGGUGGUACCAUCCCUGGACUGAUAGUCCU